CUCCACGUUCAUGCGACGACGGGUAGCCGGCCUGAGAGGGUGACCGGCCACACUGGGACUGAGACACGGCCCAGACUCCUACGGGAGGCAGCAGUGGGGAAUAUUGCACAAUGGGCGAAAGCCUGAUGCAGCGACGCCGCGUGAGGGAUGACGGCCUUCGGGUUGUAAACCUCUUUCAGCAGGGACGAAGCGAAAGUGACGGUACCUGCAGAAGAAGCGCCGGCUAACUACGUGCAGUC
RNAcentral lists this ribosomal RNA (239 nucleotides) under uncultured bacterium. RNAcentral describes it as "partial 16S ribosomal RNA". It matches the Rfam family "Bacterial small subunit ribosomal RNA", at positions 261 to 512 of the family's 1533-position model. The record is from RNAcentral.